UACGUAGGGUGCAAGCGUUAAUCGGAAUUACUGGGCGUAAAGCGUGCGCAGGCGGUGAUGUAAGACAGAUGUGAAAUCCCCGGGCUCAACCUGGGAACUGCAUUUGUGACUGCAUCGCUGGAGUACGGCAGAGGGGGGAUGGAAUUCCGCGUGUAGCAGUGAAAAUGCGUAGAUAUGCGGAGGAACACCGAUGGCGAAGGCAAUCCCCCUGGGCCUGUACUGACGCUCAUGCACGAAAGCGUGGGGGAGCAA
RNAcentral lists this ribosomal RNA (252 nucleotides) under uncultured bacterium. RNAcentral describes it as "partial 16S ribosomal RNA". It matches the Rfam family "Bacterial small subunit ribosomal RNA", at positions 524 to 771 of the family's 1533-position model. The record is from RNAcentral.